Molecule: ribosomal RNA, 660 nt
Filed under: uncultured bacterium
Lineage: Bacteria
Description: bacterial SSU rRNA
Rfam family: Bacterial small subunit ribosomal RNA (bases 1-568)
Source: RNAcentral
CCUACGGGAGGCAGCAGUGGGGAAUAUUGGACAAUGGGCGGAAGCCUGAUCCAGCCAUGCCGCGUGUGUGAAGAAGGCCUUUUGGUUGUAAAGCACUUUAAGCGAGGAGGAGGCUACUAGUACCAAUACUACUGGAUAGUGGACGUUACUCGCAGAAUAAGCACCGGCUAACUCUGUGCCAGCAGCCGCGGUAAUACAGAGGGUGCGAGCGUUAAUCGGAUUUACUGGGCGUAAAGCGUGCGUAGGCGGCUUUUUAAGUCGGAUGUGAAAUCCCCGAGCUUAACUUGGGAAUUGCAUUCGAUACUGGGAAGCUAGAGUAUGGGAGAGGAUGGUAGAAUUCCAGGUGUAGCGGUGAAAUGCGUAGAGAUCUGGAGGAAUACCGAUGGCGAAGGCAGCCAUCUGGCCUAAAUACUGACGCUGAGGUACGAAAGCAUGGGGGANCAAACGAGGUAUUAGACUACCCGUGGUACGUCCGACUAGACCGUAACGUACUAGUACUACUACGUCCGUUCGGGUCCGUUGUAGGUCGUUAGUUGGUCGCGAGCGUACGACGAGUAAGUAGACCGCCGUCGGGUAGGUACGGUCGCGAGAACGUAAACCGUACGAAACGUAGUAGUAGACGACGAGAGAGCGACGGACGGACGACGACGGAGGGAGGUG